Molecule: ribosomal RNA, 478 nt
Filed under: uncultured bacterium
Lineage: Bacteria
Description: partial 16S ribosomal RNA
Rfam family: Bacterial small subunit ribosomal RNA
Source: RNAcentral
GACGAACGCUGGCGGCGUGCUUAACACAUGCAAGUCGAAUGGUAAGGCCCUUCGGGGUACACGAGUGGCGAACGGGUGAGUAACACGUGGGUGAUCUGCCCUGCACUUCGGGAUAAGCCUGGGAAACUGGGUCUAAUACCGGAUAGGACCACUGCCUGCAUGGGUGGUGGUGGAAAGCUUUUGCGGUGUGGGAUGGGCCCGCGGCCUAUCAGCUUGUUGGUGGGGUGAUGGCCUACCAAGUCGACGACGGGUAGCCGGCCUGAGAGGGUGACCGGCCACACGGGGCAUGAGCUACAGCCAAGACUUCUACGGGCGGCAGCAGUGGGGAAUAUUGCACAAUGGGCGCAAGCCUGAUGCAGCGACGCCGCGUGAGGGAUGACGGCCUUCGGGGUGUAAACCUCUUUCAGCAGCGACGAAGCGCAGGUGACGGUAGGUGCAGAAGAAGGACCGGCCAACUACGUGCCAGCAGCCGCGGUAA